UACGGAGGGUGCAAGCGUUAUCCGGGUUUACUGGGUUUAAAGGGUGCGCAGGCGGAUAUGUAAGUCAGUGGUGAAAUCUCUAGGCUUAACCUGGAAAUUGCCGUUGAUACUAUAUAUCUUGAAUGCUGUGGAGGUAAGCGGAAUAUGUCAUGUAGCGGUGAAAUGCUUAGAUAUGACAUAGAACACCUAUUGCGAAGGCAGCUUACUACGCAGAUAUUGACGCUCAUGCACGAAAGCGUGGGGAUCAAACAGG
RNAcentral lists this ribosomal RNA (253 nucleotides) under uncultured bacterium. Its description in RNAcentral is "partial 16S ribosomal RNA". It matches the Rfam family "Bacterial small subunit ribosomal RNA", at positions 524 to 776 of the family's 1533-position model. The record is from RNAcentral.